CCUACGGGAGGCAGCAGUGAGGAAUAUUGGUCAAUGGGCGAGAGCCUGAACCAGCCAAGUCGCGUGAGGGAGUACUGCCCUAUGGGUUGUAAACCUCUUUUGUCGGGGAGCAAAAGCCGGACGUUUCCGGCUGUGAGAGUACACGAAGAAAAAGCAUCGGCUAACUCCGUGCCAGCAGCCGCGGUAAUACGGGGGAUGCGCGCGUUAUCCGGAUUUAUUGGGGUUAAAGGGGGCGCAGGCGGAUUUUUAAGUCAGCGGUCAAAUCGUGGGGCUCAACCCCAUCCAGCCGUUGAAACUGGGGAUCUAGAGUGUGCGAGAGGUAUGCGGAAUGCGUGGUGUAGCGGUGAAAUGCAUAGAUAUCACGCAGAACCCCGAUUGCGAAGGCAGCAUACCGGUGCACAACUGACGCUCAGGCACGAAAGCGUGGGUAUCGAACAGGAUUAGAUACCCUUGUAGUC
RNAcentral lists this ribosomal RNA (458 nucleotides) under uncultured bacterium. Its description in RNAcentral is "partial 16S ribosomal RNA". It matches the Rfam family "Bacterial small subunit ribosomal RNA", at positions 338 to 795 of the family's 1533-position model. The record is from RNAcentral.